Molecule: non-coding RNA, 266 nt
Organism: Pelobates cultripes (western spadefoot toad)
Lineage: Eukaryota; Metazoa; Chordata; Amphibia; Anura; Pelobatidae
Source: the annotation of a GenBank genome assembly
CAAGGUUAAGGUGAGACAUGAUGAUAAACUAAAGGUGGUGUGAACAAGAAAUAAUCUGUUCAUGGAUGUUGCUGCAACAAAUAAUCUCAAAACAACGAGUGGGAAAAUCAAGCAAAUAUUCAGAAAAUAUAAUUUGCCGUACUACCUGCAACUGCCAGACAGGGAAGAGAUCACCAAGACUACCCUGAAAAAAAGUGUGAAAGCCCUGGACACGUUUUACACCUUCCCUGGUGCUUUCUCAACAUUAAGGUGGGACAUGUCUUAAU